UACGUAGGUGGCAAGCGUUAUCCGGAUUUAUUGGGUUUAAAGGGUGCGUAGGCGGAUUUUUAAGUCAGCGGUAAAAUGUCCGGGCUCAACCCGGGCCGGCCGUUGAAACUGGGGAUCUUGAGUGGGCGAGAAGUAUGCGGAAUGCGCGGUGUAGCGGUGAAAUGCAUAGAUAUCGCGCAGAACUCCGAUUGCGAAGGCAGCAUGCCGGCUCCACACUGACGCUGAGGCACGAAAGCGUGGGUAUCGAACAGG
This 252-nucleotide ribosomal RNA is filed under the name uncultured Bacteroidales bacterium. RNAcentral's name for it is "partial 16S ribosomal RNA". It matches the Rfam family "Bacterial small subunit ribosomal RNA", at positions 524 to 776 of the family's 1533-position model. The record is from RNAcentral. Lineage: Bacteria; Pseudomonadati; Bacteroidota; Bacteroidia; Bacteroidales.